This 468-nucleotide long non-coding RNA is filed under the name Carassius auratus (goldfish). Its description in RNAcentral is "lncRNA (ENSCARG00000060526.1)". Lineage: Eukaryota; Metazoa; Chordata; Actinopteri; Cypriniformes; Cyprinidae. The record is from RNAcentral.
AUGGCGGCAGCUGAAAUCCAGAGACAAACAUACGUAGUCAUACACUGCCUCUUACAAAAUGACACAUAUUCUGAUAUGGUGGAGUGUGAUGGUACUGGAGAUGAGAACUCAUUUGACCCUGUAAAAAUAGCCUCAAAGCUCAGGGAACUGGGUGAUGAUUAUGAUGAGAGAGUGAUCCAGCCAUUGAUGAAGAAUGUACAGAAAGCUGCAGCCGAUCAGGUGGUGACUGCCUUCAGUGAUAGUGUGGACAGCUUGUGUAACACGUGGGUUAUGGAAAGAGCAGAAGUGGCCUCAGAAAAGCAGCUUCUCAAGGCUGCCAUCACACUGGGACUCCUUAUGAAGAAAAACUGCCCUGACAUGAUAAAUGUAGUUGAGUUCGCUAUGAUGGGAUUCGUCAACAACCGUCUAACAGGCUGGAUUGCAGAACAAGGAGGCUGGGUCUCGGUCUCUAAGAACAGCAUGCACUGA